AAGACCUUGCGCUUUUGGAGCGGCCGAUGUCUGAUUAGCUUGUUGGUGAGGUAAAAGCUUACCAAGGCUUCGAUCAGUAGCUGGUCUGAGAGGACGGCCAGCCACACUGGGACUGAGACACGGCCCAGACUCCUACGGGAGGCAGCAGUGGGGAAUUUUGGACAAUGGGGGCAACCCUGAUCCAGCCAUGCCGCGUGAGUGAAGAAGGCCUUCGGGUUGUAAAGCUCUUUCAGCCGGAACGAAACGGUUACGGUUAAUACCCGUGACUACUGACGGUACCGGAAGAAGAAGCACCGGCUAACUACGUGCCAGCAGCCGCGGUAAUACGUAGGGUGCAAGCGUUAAUCGGAAUUACUGGGCGUAAAGCGUGCGCAGGUGGUUCUGUAAGUCAGAUGUGAAAUCCCCGGGCUUAACCUGGGAACU
This 423-nucleotide ribosomal RNA is filed under the name uncultured bacterium. Its description in RNAcentral is "bacterial SSU rRNA". It matches the Rfam family "Bacterial small subunit ribosomal RNA", at positions 207 to 622 of the family's 1533-position model. The record is from RNAcentral.